This is a long non-coding RNA of Passer domesticus (house sparrow), 3246 nucleotides long. RefSeq lists it as uncharacterized. The record is from RefSeq and is a predicted model, not a curated record. NCBI's taxonomy places the organism in Eukaryota, Metazoa, Chordata, Aves, Passeriformes, Passeridae. The transcript has 23 exons.
GCUAAGUGAUGGCCAGGUGUUAGAAAUACAAAUGGCUUAUAUCGGUAGAAUUGCCUUGUUAAGGUCUUGGGCUCGGUAGGCUUCAGUCAUCUCAGACCUAAUAAUGCUAGGUGAGGAGAAUGGACUACUGAUAGUGGACACAAAGACAUCCAGCAGAACCCCCAAGACAAGGAAGAAAUUUAUAAAGCAAACUCAGCUGGACUGGGUAAAAGACAGCUCUUGGAACAACUUCUGCAGAUGUGGUGAGACCUCAUGGGGGCUGGGUUUCCAUGCUCCUCCGUCCCUGCAGCACCAGAGAAUCUAUUCAACGGCACAAACCCUGCUCACCUGUGUUCCUCUAGGGAAGGCUUGCUGAAGAGGUGAGCCCAGCACCUGUAACCUGCAGGUGUUGAGGAUUUGUUAAUCACCUCGGGCCAGUUACUUCAUGAGGGAUAACUGAAGGGAUUAACAGGAUGGAGCCGAGGAAAAGGAGAAAGCAGGCAAGAUUAAAAAAAAAAAAAAAAAGUUAUCAGUGAGUUAAAAAUGUAGUAAAGAAGUUGGGGUUUGAGUUACCAGCAUUUUUUCACCAGUCUGUUCACACUAUAGAAGACUUCUUCUCACUCUUAAACAAGGCUGCCUUUGAAAAAGGAUUGAAGUGAACUUUGCCAGUGCUGGAGCCUAAGUCGGGGCUCCUGGGGGCUGUGAGAUUGUGCUCCUUAACAGAUCCAUGGACUUCAGAGAGCUGGAGCUUUGGCCUUGCUGAAGUACCUCUGGAGAGCCUGAGAUAGGGAUAAAGGCUGCUGAGCACAAGUGUCUGCAUUUUACCUGUGGAAAGAGGGAUUCUGCUGAGGAACGGGGAGCAGGACUCUGCUGUCAGUGUAGCAGAACUCUGACCAGCUGCAGGAGUAGUGCCUGGGGUUAUGCUGGGUCUUAACUACAGAUGCUCAGAGCUGCAGCUGUAUCUCAAGACAAGAUAUACUCCACUUUGUGAGGUGCAAGGGAUGAUCUAGAAAGAGGAGGAGGGAGCUGCUGGGAUUUGAAGGAAGAAGUGACCAGCAGAUUUUGAUUUCUGGUGGCAGAAAUGUUUGAUAUUCCAAGAGGGUGCCAAGGAAGGGUUUCCUGUCCCUGUGGAGUCCUGCAGUGACUGCUGUAGCAACUACUGAAGGCACAUCUGACACCUGCUGCAUGUGGCUGCAAUUUGAUUUUAUACUGUUCCUGUCCCUUGCUUACCUUGUUGAUCGCAAACAGUUUUUUGGAAACUCUUGAGAACCAGGUUCAGCUACCUGUGGAGAGCAGGGACAUAGAUCUACCUACAGACAGAGACAGUCAUCCUCGUCCUUUGGUGCACACACAGCUGUUGUGGCUCAGUAUCUUUUCCUACCCUCUGAGGUUUUGUUCAGCAACUUCAUCUGUGCUAAUGUCAUCCUUUCCUGGAAUUGCCUGGUAUCUUUCCAUCUUAAAUUAGAAAGUAAGGAGGUCCUUGUACUACUCUAACAUGACAUGAGAAGAACAUUCCUGAGGAAGCUGUUGCACCAGGAUGAGAGCUGAGCAAGCAAACCCCUUGGGCCACUUUUGCAGCUGGUCACUGACUCUGUUGAGCCUCACCGCUACCAUGUUCAUUGAUACACCCUGUUGUCCCAGCUAGAAGUGGAUCCUCAGAAAAAGGGACAGAACUCGGGCCUGAGUUUUUUGUUGGGAAAUGUGCCUGUCCCCAGAGACUCAGAUGGAGAGCUGCCAUGCUGUCCAGGGACCAGACCAGCUGGAGGAAGACCAGAUGCAAACAGUGACAGCAGCAGCUUGCAACUGAACUGGAAGAUUUUCCAGGAUUAGGAGGUGCACAGCAUGGCAUGGACCUUCUGGUGCCCCCAAAGUGCAUGGCCUUUGGGCCACUGAUAUUAUCAUUGCUGAGGUUCACCUCCACAGAGAGAGUGUCCUGAUUGCAAGAUCCCCAGGAAUGCAAGAAAAAGCUGCCAUUGAAAAAUAUAUUUUAAUUUUCCCUGUUCCAGAGAAGACCUGGUAAAUAUGACAGUCUAAAUUCAAAACACAAUGAAAAGAAAAAGACUCCUUCAGUUCUCAUCACCUGAUGAGCACUGUGGCUGUAAGAGGACACGACUCCUUAAUGAUUAUUGUGGAUAGCUGGCAACCUACAAGGCUCUAAAUGUUUAUUGGUAUUUUAAAGGAAUGAAGCUUUUGAGGUCAUGGGCACUGGAUGUUUAUUCUAAAAAGGCUUAAUUUCAGCCCAUAAUGGAAAACCAUUAUACAGUGCCCAAAGGCUGAUAUGAGAGCACUGCUGGUCUGGGCAGCAUUCCCAGCACAGCCCUCCUGCCUGAGCCCCUCAGGCAGCAGCCCCCAGGGGAGAGCCGCUGGCAGCCCGGGGAGCAAUGGAGAGCAGUGCUGACAGCACCUUCCUCAUCUUCAGCCUCAUGGAGUCACACAAAGCAGCGAUAGAAUUUUUGUUAAACGUGACAGCUUCGCUGAAAUACAAAUAUUGAACAUUGUCAUCUUGUGUUAUCUGGCUGAUUUGCAUGGAUUAUUACUUCUCAGAGACUCUGCAAAGAGGACGAAUGAUUGUGUCAACUCAAUGCAGGCAUGCCGAAUGCAGUCAGUGUCUCUGUGAAGCCUUCGAGAAUACCCAACAAUUGCUCAGCCUGAAUGAAGAAACUCAAUCACAGACAACCCAAUCUUGUCUAUGUAGGAGUACUCUAUUUCUAAGGACAAACUUGCCUGGGUUUUGGGAGUUAGGGCUCCAGCAGACUGCUCUGGUGAAGAUUCAGCUGGGCUUUGAGGCAAACUCAGUGCUCUAAAGUGCAUUACUGAGCGUGGCCUUCGCAGCACCAUGAGAAGGAUGAACCCUUGAAUUUAUCAUGCGUGCAAGAAAGAAGGAUGUCCUCACUGCCUUCAAGCCAAAACUCAGCUUGUUGCCAAACCUUGACAAGAAUUGAAAGGAGGUGCUUCCUGCUGGAGAGGCUGACAUUUGAACUCACAGCUUCUCCUGGAAGUAUCAGGAGAUUUUCUCUCCUCAUCCCUCUGGACCCCACUUACUGUCCACUACCCCACCAGUUUCAAACUGUGACAUGUAGACCUCUGGGAAGAAUUCAACAGAAGGCUGGUCAUGACCCAUUCUGCUCCAUCUCAGCUGCAUGGGAAGCAUAAAACUUUUGGCUACAAUGGGAAUUUAUAUGCAAAUGAGUUUCACGCUGCAUUGAGAAGCAGAUUCAAAUCCCUGAAGUGCCUGGGAGCCAGGCCUGAGGCUCAGGUCCCCAGUGA